AAAAGUCAAGUGAAGACAAGGGCGUAAGUCCAAAGAAGCACCAAGAGGAAAAGCCUCGCCACUCAUAGAAAGCCGAUUCUCACCGCUCCCUUUCGCCAAUCACAGCGGUCCAGCGAGCUCUGGGUCAAAUCAAGUUAAUAUGCGCACUGGUGAAGCUACGAAGCACCUUGAUACUUGUCCCGACGCCUCUUGCUUCUGAGGUGACGCUAGCCCGAGUUAUUCCAUAUCCAGAAACCAAGCCGUGACCAGCGUCUAGCCGAGACCUCAAAUAGCCAUAAAGGAGCCCUCCUGUCGAGCUAGCCAUCAUCGAGAAUCUCUUACCAUAAGACUAUUGAUCCCGACAUCGCCUGCUUGAAGUUGCUGCCAUUGCUGCUUACGUCCGCACCUGCCUCGCUUUAAAUCGCGGAAUUCCAACCUGGUCGAAUAUGUGUUGCGGCACUUCCCUUCUAUUUCGCAGAUUUCUGAAGCGGACCCAAAGCUUCCUUGUUGAUCAUGCUUGCGGAGCAACGUCGUGAACAGCCACCAUGAGCCAUCGUCGGUCAUUCCUCAUUGUGAUUCUCGUGAUCUACUGUCCGUCCAAAUUCAGAAAAAAUAUCCGAGCGAUAUCGCAAAUUAGGCUUGGGCUGUUGAAUUGGGCUUGGCUUCACUGAUCUCUUGGGCUUCAAAUUGCUGGGCUUGAAGACUUCAACUGGGCCGAGAACAGGCUGGCUUCAUGGAUGUUGAAGACGCUCGGCUUAUGGACGCUGAAGACGGGCUGCUGAACGAAACGAGCGGGCUGAAGAAAAGACCGCAUGGGCUACUGCGUGGAUGGAGUCGCGCACGAAGGAGACGCGGCCACGAAUCUGCUUCGGUGGAGCAAAACCGAAGGUGGUGGUCUUCGGUCAAUCCUCGGUGCUGGUUUGUUGACCAGCAGGGGACAGCAAGUAGUGGAGAGAUGGGGCGGAUGAUAGAUGAUGAAGAUGAGGGAUGAUGAUGAUGAUGUGGGCGCGGCGAGAAAAAGAACAUGAAAGGGUGAAGCUGCAGAAUUCGAGUGGGACAGCGUGAUCUUCUAUGGGGGCUUCACGGCGUUGGGUUGACCGAGCUUGGAGGAGACUCAGACGCGUGGGGGCUUGGACGGCAGCUUCGCAGGGGAAAACAGAAAGAAAGAAAAAGCAAAGCAGAAAAUGGAGACAGAAGGGUUAGAGAGAAAGACGGUGGUGUGCGAAAAUGGAGAGUAGAUGAGGGAGAGACGUGUGAGAUUGGAAAGAAGAGGAACAAAAGUCAAUAAACCUUAAGUCCUUCCAUU
Long non-coding RNA from Eucalyptus grandis, 1285 nucleotides. RefSeq lists it as uncharacterized. The transcript is spliced from 2 exons. Lineage: Eukaryota; Viridiplantae; Streptophyta; Magnoliopsida; Myrtales; Myrtaceae. The record is from RefSeq and is a predicted model, not a curated record.